Long non-coding RNA from Brassica rapa (field mustard), 2056 nucleotides. RefSeq lists it as uncharacterized. The record is from RefSeq and is a predicted model, not a curated record. Lineage: Eukaryota; Viridiplantae; Streptophyta; Magnoliopsida; Brassicales; Brassicaceae.
UCUUUUGGUGAAGACUAAUCGUGGAUGGAUCGAUGUACGGUUUCGAACACACCGGAUGCCGUGAAUUUGCGAGGCCAUCGGAUCCAAUACCCCUUUGUGUUCGUCGGGACUGGGCCAAUAGCUCAUAUGUCUUCUUUCCCUUGCUACAAUCUCCUCUCUUUAGAUCUUGGUCUAGAUUUUGUUGUGUUUAUGCUUGUUCGUUCUUGCUGAAUCCGUUCGUUCAGGGUUCUAACGUUUUUCCGAUACCGUAUAUUUUCUCCGACGUCCCUUUAUCAGGGAAAAAUUAAUAUAAUUUUGUUACAAUUAAAAAAGAAAGAAGGAGAGAGAGAGAAUGAUACAAGUGAUAGGGUUACCAGUGUCUUUUUGCAUCUACUGUUAUUGGGCUCCACAUGUUUUUUCCAUUCUUGCAAAUUUCAUUAUUAUUGUAUAUUUUUUAUGCAAAUCGCUCUAAUUUUUUUAGAUCUAAUUAAAAUAAAUAAAAAUUAAAAAUAAUCGACCAAUCAAAUUAUAAUAAUUUUUUUGAAACUUCACCUAUGACUUAUGAACGACAUGUCACCCGACCUCACUAAAGUGACUUCUCUUUUAAUAUAUAGGAAGAUUAUAAGGAGAAAGUUUUUGUUCUCUCCUCAGCCUAUCCACGUGUCUCUUUUAAUUUUUUGUGGGUUCCACUGAAACAAUAAAUAUUCUUUACAUAAAUUAAUUUUGUGUUGUGAUUUCGAUAUAUUAUUUGUCUUUGAGUUUGGGUUAUCUAAUAUAUAUAAACGAAUCCAAUAAUCCAUCCAGCCCAUUGGCAAGCCAGCUUAUUAAUGAUGUUGUCGUUUCAAAAGACAUCCAAACUCAGCGUUUAAGGUUUCACUCAAUUGGGUCUGAAGUCGCCUCCAUCUUAGACGAUCCAAGUCUUUGCCAUUGUUGCAAUAAAAACUUUGUUUUGUCAACUUUUGAUCUCCCCUAUUUUUUCAGUUCCGUCUCUUGCUUAUUCUUCAUUCAAUGUUUCUCUCUUAACAUAUACAAUGAAUCUUCAGUUGCCCAUACAGCUGUCCGCCACUCAGCCUCCAACGCUCUCUGACUUGGCCUCACUUCUUUGUUGUUCGCCUCAUCCGCUUUUGGUAUUCACAUAACAUCAAGAAAAAUAAUGAAUUUAUAGGAAUCACCCUCCUUUGCCUAGAUGAAUAGGAGAAAGGCAGGCUCAUAUCAACAAUGCUGUUGGUAAGAAAAGUUCUGCAAUCUUGGACCUGAAGCUGCAAAGAUGGACCAAGUGAAUUGAGCACAUGGUGAGGCUGAACCAAUACUGGCUAGAGCACAAGUAACUACUAGAGGUCUUGCCAUGUUAUCCCAGUCUCUCAAAGAAACUGGGGGAGUAGAGAUGAGUUUUAACAAACCUAGCUUGGUUAUUUAAUUCUUCGUACUAUUUUUUUAUUCACUAUAGACAAAGGUUUUAUGUCAAAUUGAGAUGGUUUUAUGUCAUAUAUAUUCAUGGGUUGAAAGCUUGUAUUUUUAGCCGUCCAAAUGUGAUCUUAUACCUUAUCACUGUACAAUUUUUCAGGCUGCUAGUUUGAGAGUUGCAGAGCAAUACAUUCAAGCGUUCAGUAACAUUGCCAAGGAGGGUGCGACAAUGUUGCUUCCAAAUUCCAAUUAUGGCUUCAAAUCCUGCUAGCAUGAUUGCUCAAGCUUUAACAAUGUACAAAAGCCUUGUGAACCAAAUUCCAAAGAGCGAUGACCAAGAGACAUCAGCAGUGAAUGUGACUGGGAAAGAUAUUCAGAAGGGUCUAAAAACCGAUCAUGCUCAACAACAUUCGAAACAGAGAAACCAGGCCACACCGUUGAACCAGUAUUUUCUCUUCAGAGUGCAACAAGGAGCCAUAGUAGCCAGCUAAACCAAGGAUGAGUGGUGCCUGAACGAACAUAAAAUCCAUUUUUUCCAGUUUUCAAAAAAUGAGACAUGAUAUCGUCUUCCCUGUUUGAGCGGCAUGAAUAUCAUAUGCCAUUUGGCCAAUAGAAAACAUAUAUGAACAUCUAUUCUCUGAAAGUGUUUUCCCCAAAUGAUUUGGUCUGAACA